UGAUGCAGCGACGCCGCGUGAGGGAUGACGGCCUUCGGGUUGUAAACCUCUUUCAGCAGGGAAGAAGCGAAAGUGACGGUACCUGCAGAAGAAGCGCCGGCUAACUACGUGCCAGCAGCCGCGGUAAUACGUAGGGCGCGAGCGUUGUCCGGAAUUAUUGGGCGUAAAGAGCUCGUAGGCGGCUUGUCACGUCGGUUGUGAAAGCCCGGGGCUUAACCCCGGGUCUGCAGUCGAUACGGGCAGGCUAGAGUGCGGUAGGGGAGAUCGGAAUUCCUGGUGUAGCGGUGAAAUGCGCAGAUAUCAGGAGGAACACCGGUGGCGAAGGCGGAUCUCUGGGCCAUUACUGACGCUGAGGAGCGAAAGCGUGGGGAGCGAACAGGAUUAGAUACCCUGGUAGUCCACGCCGUAAACGGUGGGAACUAGGUGUGGGCGACAUUCCACGUCGUCCGUGCCGCAGCUAACGCAUUAAGUUCCCCGCCUG
This 481-nucleotide ribosomal RNA is filed under the name Streptomyces globisporus. RNAcentral describes it as "bacterial SSU rRNA". It matches the Rfam family "Bacterial small subunit ribosomal RNA", at positions 384 to 875 of the family's 1533-position model. Lineage: Bacteria; Bacillati; Actinomycetota; Actinomycetes; Kitasatosporales; Streptomycetaceae. The record is from RNAcentral.